RNAcentral lists this ribosomal RNA (253 nucleotides) under uncultured bacterium. Its description in RNAcentral is "partial 16S ribosomal RNA". It matches the Rfam family "Bacterial small subunit ribosomal RNA", at positions 524 to 776 of the family's 1533-position model. The record is from RNAcentral.
UACGUAGGGUGCGAGCGUUGUCCGGAAUUACUGGGCGUAAAGAGCUCGUAGGUGGUUUGUCGCGUUGUCCGUGAAAACUCACAACUCAAUUGUGGGCGUGCGGGCGAUACGGGCAGGCUGGAGUACUGCAGGGGAGACUGGAAUUCCUGGUGUAGCGGUGAAAUGCGCAGAUAUCAGGAGGAACACCGGUGGCGAAGGCGGGUCUCUGGGCCGAUACUGACGCUGAGGAGCGAAAGCGUGGGGAGCGAACAGG